This 512-nucleotide long non-coding RNA is filed under the name Spirodela polyrhiza (greater duckweed). Its description in RNAcentral is "long non-coding RNA (SPOL_LNC001764)". The record is from RNAcentral. Lineage: Eukaryota; Viridiplantae; Streptophyta; Magnoliopsida; Alismatales; Araceae.
GCCGUCUCCGACCACCGGAACCCUUCCCGCUCAGCAGUUGAACUGGAAGGCGAGCUCGAAUUCCUACCCGGACUUCUCUUUCCAGACCCACCCUGCCCGCAGCAGCGAUUCCGCUUCCGCCUUCCCGAAUUCUUCGGGGACGACCUCCCUGGUAGGUCCAUCGCCACGGUUUCAGUCUUCCUGUCUUCUUCUUCCGCGGUAAAUCUCUGGUUUAUAGCUUCUCGAUUCUCUCGGUUCGUGUUGCAGGGCGUGCAGCAGCAGCAACAGCAGCAGAAGCAGGACCAGUGGAUGUAUCAAGAACCCGGCAAUAGGGCGGCGGCGGCGGCGGUACCGGACCAGGUUCUCCCGAAUCAGACGAGCUCCUCCCCCGAGGUCUCCUCCGUGGGGUACGAGUCCGACUGCUGCCAUCCCGACCGUGGAGCCCCGGCGGUCAACGAGCGGAGAUCACUGGACGACGGGUACAACUGGAGGAAGUACGGGCAGAAGCAGGUGAAGGGUAGCGAGAACCCUCG